GGAUUAGAUACCCUGGUAGUCCACGCCGUAAACGAUGUCUACUUGGAGGUUGUGGCCUUGAGCCGUGGCUUUCGGAGCUAACGCGUUAAGUAGACCGCCUGGGGAGUACGGUCGCAAGAUUAAAACUCAAAUGAAUUGACGGGGGCCCGCACAAGCGGUGGAGCAUGUGGUUUAAUUCGAAGCAACGCGCAGAACCUUACCAGCCCUUGACAUACCAAUCGCGGUUACCGGAGACGGUUUCCUUCAGUUCGGCUGGAUUGGAUACAGGUGCUGCAUGGCUGUCGUCAGCUCGUGCUG
Molecule: ribosomal RNA, 297 nt
Filed under: uncultured bacterium
Lineage: Bacteria
Description: partial 16S ribosomal RNA
Rfam family: Bacterial small subunit ribosomal RNA
Source: RNAcentral